UACGUAGGGCGCAAGCGUUGUCCGGAAUUAUUGGGCGUAAAGAGCUCGUAGGCGGUUUGUCGCGUCUGCUGUGAAAGCCCGGGGCUUAACCCCGGGUGUGCAGUGGGUACGGGCAGACUUGAGUGCAGUAGGGGAGACUGGAAUUCCUGGUGUAGCGGUGAAAUGCGCAGAUAUCAGGAGGAACACCGAUGGCGAAGGCAGGUCUCUGGGCUGUUACUGACGCUGAGGAGCGAAAGCAUGGGGAGCGAACAGG
RNAcentral lists this ribosomal RNA (253 nucleotides) under uncultured bacterium. Its description in RNAcentral is "partial 16S ribosomal RNA". It matches the Rfam family "Bacterial small subunit ribosomal RNA", at positions 524 to 776 of the family's 1533-position model. RNAcentral also lists the same sequence under 1 other name. The record is from RNAcentral.